GACGAACGCUGGCGGCGUGCUUAACACAUGCAAGUCGAACGGAAAGGCCCUGCUUUUGUGGGGUGCUCGAGUGGCGAACGGGUGAGUAACACGUGAGUACCUGCCCUUGACUUUGGGAUAACUUCAGGAAACUGGGGCUAAUACCGGAUAGGAGCUCCUGCUGCAUGGUGGGGGUUGGAAAGUUUCGGCGGUUGGGGAUGGACUCGCGGCUUAUCAGCUUGUUGGUGGGGUAGUGGCUUACCAAGGCUUUGACGGGUAGCCGGCCUGAGAGGGUGACCGGCCACAUUGGGACUGAGAUACGGCCCAGACUCCUACGGGAGGCAGCAGUGGGGAAUAUUGCACAAUGGGCGGAAGCCUGAUGCAGCAACGCCGCGUGCGGGAUGGCGGCCUUCGGGUUGUAAACCGCUUUCGCCUGUGACGAAGCGUGAGUGACGGUAAUGGGUAAAGAAGCACCGGCUAACUACGUG
This 467-nucleotide ribosomal RNA is filed under the name uncultured bacterium. RNAcentral's name for it is "partial 16S ribosomal RNA". It matches the Rfam family "Bacterial small subunit ribosomal RNA", at positions 28 to 507 of the family's 1533-position model. The record is from RNAcentral.